GCGCAGAUGAGAAACCCAACAAUUGAUAAUCAAAGCAUACGACAAGAAUAUGAAUAAAUAAGAGUUUCAAUAAAAGAGAGUUUCAAAAGAUUGCAUUGUUCCUGAUGACUUGGGUCCAAGCCCAUCAUGGACCCAUCACUUGUGGACUAAAUCAACACAUGGAGAAGGGGUAAAACUGUCCAAAUGAAGACCACAGCUGCUGGAAGCACCCCCCUACCUUUACUAAAUACACCACAUUCUUCCACUAAACUUCAUUCUCCGCUGCUACGAAACUCUGCAAAACAUUCGCUGCUUAUUUUUCUCCUCCACCGACUGGAUCGAGGGCAUCAUUUGGUAAUCAGAGCUUGGUUGCUGCAUUAUAUUACAGCUCCGUGAGCGAUCUCACGAUCCAGAUAAGUGUCAUUGCCUUGAUCCGUACUUUCAUCAACAUUCCUUGCGUGUGUUGUAGUGAUUUCACUGUUCCAUUGCUUCUCUUAAAUUCCAUAGGUUCCUUUGAGUCACUUGUUUGAUCCAGCUUUGAUUUGAUUUGGUCUUAGCAUUUUAAUCAGUUCAUUUCAUAGAUUUGAGUUUUUUUUUUUUUUUUUAAAUCCUACUGCUGUUUGUCUAAGUCAUGUUCAUUGUUGUUUCCAUUAUGUCCAAUUUCCAAGUUUAACCGUGUGUGGAUAAAUCUGCAUAGUUGAUUGGAGUAAUUCAAUAGAAGCUUAGUGCAUCUUGAAUCUCCUCAACAAAGCAGUACCAAAGGUUGACAAAGUAUAACUGUUUCAAAUUUGAAUUUUGGUUUGCAUCAGGUGGAAAAGUGUUAUUCGCACAAUCAAUUGUGUUUUUAUGCUAUUCUGUUUUAAUCUCAUGAUUGUGUGCUUGUGAGUGUUGGAUAUGAUGCAAUAAGAGGAAAAUGCAUACCACAAAAUAUGAUUAAGAUAUUAUAGUGGAGAGCAUUACUCUGCAGAUUCCAAAUCUAUUACACAGCAGCUUGAACCGUGCUGCAUACAUCUUUGCAGAGAGUCUUUGUAAUUUUUUUUAAUUGGUCCAGCUGUAGUAUCCUUGUCUGGACUUCUUCAUAAUUCUAUAGAGUUUGUGUUCAAAUUAGCUUGCUGUUUGGAUUCAUCAAAUUGUGUUUCAUAUUUGUUUGAAGCAUUAGGAUGAAUUUCCAUGUGUGUAUGGAUCAUUUUUGGUUGAAUUGAGCAACCUGUGUGGUGAAAAUUUGAAAUAGCCGUGUGCAGUCACUACCAUCCAUUUCAAUCUGAUAUAUUUGGCAAACCAGACUUGCUCCAAGUGCCAAAUCACUGAUCCAAACACUUUUAAAUCUUAUGCUGAAAUUUGAUUAAUGCAUUGGCUAUCAUUUAGCGUGAAAUGGCAACUGAUAUAGGCAAUUUUUGAUUCAAGCAUGAAUUGUCUCACUUGACAGUUGAUAUAUGUCAUUUAUGCUCAAUUAAAGUUGCUGAAAGCUCUAAAUCAGAAAGAUAUACCUAUCUGUUAAAUAUAACCAAUCUGAUUUCAUUAUUCAGCAUUAUUUUUUUGAAUAAGUUGCAGCGUUUUUAUGACAGUAUUGCUGUGAAGUGUGCAUCCAUAUUGUAUGAUCAUUGGUAGCAAAAUGCUUGGUUCCAGUAAUUAAAGAAAAAGAAUGAAAGCAUAAAUCAAAAUACGUAUAUGCUGNAUUGUAAAAGCAAGAGGAACCGUGCCAAUUGACAUAAGUCUGAAACUGGAUGCAUAGUUUUCAGCAGUUCAUUUAGGCAUUUCUUCAAACACUUUUGCCUAAAUUUCAUUUGAGUUGAAUUGAAUGUUUCUGCAACUUAUCUUUGUUUCUUGCUUUUCAAAUAUACUCUAGAACCUUUCCUAAGUUCCUUUUGAGUGCCAUCUAUCAUUGAACACCGAUUAAUUGCUUGAUUUUUGAUUGUUUGGACUUCUGCACACCAACUGUUUGUUAUAUUUCCAGUGGUGUGUUCUGUUAUGUUAUCAUUGCAGCAGCAAAAGUCCCAAUUUCUGCACUCAAACUUGAUGAAUGUGGAUUGGUGUGAGCUCAUUUGUGGUUACAACAUUGUUGUAGACGGCUUGACAUAAUUGGUAGCACUUUAGGAAGAGGAUUGGUGAAGGAAAAGAUCACUUGGAAGGAUGCAAUUCGGCACAGCAGUGCACUCGUAAGCUGCAAAUUCUGGUGUGGAAUUUCCAUGUGACAGCAGCUUCCUUACUAUGCAGCUGUAAGCUUUGUGAGAAUCCAAUUGCAGAUUCAAUUUUCUUGAGAGAAGCCAAAGCUGCACACCAAAUUUUUUUUACCAUUUCUGAGUACUGAAACAGCAGAACUGCACAAACACCCUUGCAGUUGAGAGAUUUGAGGCUGCCUACAGUGCAGUGUUCAAUUAUUCUGAGAAUCCAAAGUUGCAGUGCCACACUUUUUCCCCUUUCUUUGUGCACAGUUGUCUGCUAAUCUUGUUACUAAAUCUAAAUCAUUAAUUGAAAUCACAAGUAUAAAUGAAUUUAGAUCAAAAGUUGAACUGAUUUUGUCAAAUAUAUUUGCUGAUUUCCACUUUGCUUGGAGUAUUUGUUGUUUGGCAUGUUACAGCUAUGCAGAUGUAAUUUGGAAAGUAUUAUAGCAUUGGUUGCAGCAGUGGAAAUUGUGUAGACUUUCAACACGGCACAAGAGAAAAACAGCCGCAACAGCAGAUCUUCCAAUCAAGUUCAUUCUGCAACAUAUGCAUUUGGCAGCAAAACCACAAACCCCUGUGCAGCAGGGGAAAAUUGGAUCCAUCCUCCACAUCCAUUGCAGUAAAGCCGAGAGAAAGAAUUGGUGCAGUUGAGUUUUUUAAGCAGCAGCAAGGCACCAAAGCUGAGAACGGAAAGUGAAACCACAAGCUAGGAGACUCCAAAAGUAGCCAGCACAUGAAUUUGAACAAGAACCAGAAUGUGGCAGCAGCUGUUCUACUUUUCUUUGUAAUUGUAGUGUUCAUUUUUGAAUUGUAAUAGGUUUUCUGUGUUAGAUUUCUUUAAAGUGUAAAAGGCCAUUCCAAGUCCAAGUGUUUUUGGAAGAGUCCUUGGUGCUCCUUCAACUCUUGGCAAUUGUUUGCUUUACAUUUAGCUUAGACUGGUGAGUGUGUCUUGCUAGCCAAAGCUACAAGCCUCACCUUAGGAGUAGAAUUUUAUCUUACUUUUUUGUAUGUGAUUUUGUAUGUCGCUUAGGGACGUAGGAUUUAUUAGAGUCCGCAUAGAGUCUGAUUGUAUUCAUUGUGAGUCAAGUGCACUUUGUUUUUUAAAAGUAACUUUACUUUAAAGGAUGUCUAGGAUUAGUGAGUUUGAGAAGCAAUAUAUUCUUAGGAAACUAAUGCAACAAAUUGGGAAUAUUAAAGAGAGCUUGAAUCAAGAUAGACUUAAUAGGGAGGUGCAAAGCUCAAUCAUACAAAAUGAACUUAGAGUCAUAAAAAGAGAACAAAAGAAUCAAAGAAAUCAUAAGCUUUUAAGAGAACUCAUUCAAGAGGGUAGAACAUUCAUUAAAAGUUUAAAUGGAUUUUAUUGUCAGGAACGAGAAUUUAGAGAUAAACUUAUGAAUUUCUUGAAUGAGGGAAGUAAAAGAGACCUAGAGAGAAAACGUNGGGAACAACAAGAANGNAUAGAAAGACACGAGAGAAGAAAAGAGAGAAAAAGAGAAGAAGAAAGAAGAAGAGAAAGAGAGAGAAGAAGAGAGCAAGUGAGAAUAGAAGAGGAAGAAAGAGANAGNAGAGAACGAGUGAAGAGAGAUGAGGAAGAAAAAAUAGAGCAACAUCGGAAAGAAGAGGAAGAAAAAGAGAGAAUAAGAAGAGAGAAAGAAAAGAGAGAAGAGGAAGAAAAGCGAGAGAAGGAAGAACUUGAAAGGAAGGAAAGGGAAGAAAAGAAAUUGUUGACAAUAUCUCCUAAUCUAGAACCCAAAAGGGGAGGUUUUCUAUCCUUUAACUUUCCUUCAAUGGAAAUUACAUGUUCCAAAUUCAUCUUUUCUUUCCAAAACAUUGCCAUCACAUCUUUUCAAAAGUUGCAAUUUUUAAAAUAUGGCAAUAAAAAACUUGAGUUAGAGUCACCUUUUUGGUUAUCACUAACUCAAGAUAAAAAUAAAUUCUCAAAUGAAGAAUGGUUUCUUUAUAAUCAUCAUAUUGAAAAUUUUAAAAUUAAGAAACCUUCUUCUAAACAUGUUUUUUUAUACAUUUUGUUGGGUCAUAGAAAACUAAUUAGAGAUAUGUUUGAUGCUUAUUGCAGAUUAAUCUUUGACCCAGGAAGGAACUUCUAUGGAGUCUACAAUAAUAAGUCCUCAGGAGAACCAUCAAGAUUUGAGGACAAAUCCUUUCCAAGGGGGAGGGGAUGAUGACUUGGGUCCAAGCCCAUCAUGGACCCAUCACUUGUGGACUAAAUCAACACAUGGAGAAGGGGUAAAACUGUCCAAAUGAAGACCACAGCUGCUGGAAGCACCCCCCUACCUUUACUAAAUACACCACAUUCUUCCACUAAACUUCAUUCUCCGCUGCUACGAAACUCUGCAAAACAUUCGCUGCUUAUUUUUCUCCUCCACCGACUGGAUCGAGGGCAUCAGUUCCCCAACAACAAAAGGGUUUAGUUCACCAUUGUCAUGGUGAAACUAGAUGAAAAAUAGUGGAAGAAUGGAAAAACAAACCCUAGAUAGGAUAAAAAGGAGCCUAAGAAUCCAAGAGAUCUUCUCCAAGGAAUGAAAAUUAGGUCUGGCCGCCC
RNAcentral lists this long non-coding RNA (4701 nucleotides) under Vigna radiata. Its description in RNAcentral is "long non-coding RNA (VRAD_LNC010172)". Lineage: Eukaryota; Viridiplantae; Streptophyta; Magnoliopsida; Fabales; Fabaceae. The record is from RNAcentral.